Non-coding RNA from Camellia sinensis, 534 nucleotides. Lineage: Eukaryota; Viridiplantae; Streptophyta; Magnoliopsida; Ericales; Theaceae. The record is from RefSeq and is a predicted model, not a curated record.
UGUUAUAUAAUUUUUAUUUAGGUAAUUUGUGCUGUUAUCUUAUUCUCACUACAAAGUUCACCCCAUAAACUCCAUUAUACCUCUUUUUGGUGAAAAUAAUCAUGCCUCUCUUUGUAUCAGAUUCUAUACCGAUAAAGUGAGCACAAUCAGAAAAGAGAGGAGUGUCACAAAUGUUUGGCGGUAUAAGCAUGCAGAUGAAGGAGAAGAUACAUCUGUCAAGAAAAAUUGAAGCUUAUUAUAGUCAGUAAAACAUUAAGGUUGCUGUCUCCAUUUUUUGCGGCAUAAAGAUCAUCAAACCAGGUGUUGUUGAGCAACGUUUGCAAAACAAAACGUUUCUUCUCAUUCGGAAUGGAGUUACUCACCAUGAUCACAUUUGCAGGAACAGUUCCAAAUCUGAUCAAAGAUAAGCAGAGGACUAUAACCAUAAUUGCAACAUCAACAACAAAAUUGUAGCAAUGAAUUAAACUUGACUAUUAAGUUGUUUUCUGUCCCUUCUAAAUCAAUGAAAGAGACCAGCAAAAGAUUUUACAAAUA